GUUGGCUGCUGUGAGGAUAGGUCAGUGUGUAGAGCAGCUGCCUACAAGAAAAGUCAAGGAGAGUCCACCAUGAGACUUCCUGAAGGAAAUUGGGCUCAGAGCAGGAUGGCACCUGGACUGGACAAAACCUGCUGGCAUCUUCAGCUUCAUCCUUGUCCAUACUGUCAUUCACCUGUGAGAUGGAGGUGAGUGCCCUCCAGCCAA
Long non-coding RNA from Zonotrichia leucophrys gambelii, 204 nucleotides. RefSeq lists it as uncharacterized. The transcript is spliced from 2 exons. The record is from RefSeq and is a predicted model, not a curated record. NCBI's taxonomy places the organism in Eukaryota, Metazoa, Chordata, Aves, Passeriformes, Passerellidae.